CCGUCGAUAGCUCAGUUGGUAGAGCGGUGGACUGUAGAGGAAACGAUUGCUGUCAUCCAUAGGUCGCUGGUUCGAAUCCGGCUCGACGGA
Non-coding RNA from Ixodes scapularis (black-legged tick), 90 nucleotides. NCBI's taxonomy places the organism in Eukaryota, Metazoa, Arthropoda, Arachnida, Ixodida, Ixodidae. The record is from Rfam.